This 230-nucleotide ribosomal RNA is filed under the name uncultured bacterium. RNAcentral describes it as "partial 16S ribosomal RNA". It matches the Rfam family "Bacterial small subunit ribosomal RNA", at positions 99 to 334 of the family's 1533-position model. The record is from RNAcentral.
CGGACGGGUGAGUAAUGUCUGGGGAAAUGCCCGAUGGAGGGGGAUAACUACUGGAAACGGUAGCUAAUACCGCAUAACGUCGCAAGACCAAGAGGGGGACCUUGGGCCUCUUGCCAUCGGAUGUGCCCAGAUGGGAUUAGCUAGUAGGUGGGGUAACGGCUCACCUAGGCGACGAUCCCUAGCUGGUCUGAGAGGAUGACCAGCCACACUGGAACUGAGACACGGUCCAG